Molecule: ribosomal RNA, 562 nt
Filed under: Bottapotamon engelhardti
Lineage: Eukaryota; Metazoa; Arthropoda; Malacostraca; Decapoda; Potamidae
Description: partial large subunit ribosomal RNA
Rfam family: Bacterial large subunit ribosomal RNA
Source: RNAcentral
AAACAUGUUUGUUUGAAGUUAUAAAGAAUCUGACCUGCCCCCUGAAUAAUAGGUUAAAGGGCCGCAGUAUUAUAACUGUGCAAAGGUAGCAUAAUCAUUAGGUUUUUAAUUGAAAUCUUGUAUGAAUGGUUGGACAAGAGAGAAUCUCUCUUUAUAUUAAAAUUUGAAUUUAACUUUUAAGUGAAAAGGCUUAAAUAUUCUAGAGGGACGAUAAGACCCUAUAAAACUUUACAUUGUAAUUUUAUUUUAGUUAAAUUUAUAAAUAAAGAUUUAAUAAGAUUAUUUGUUGUGUUGGGGAGACAUAAGUAAAAUAUUGUUUUAACUGCUUUAUAAAUAAUACAAUUAUUAAUGUGCAGGUGGGAGAUCCUUUUUAAAGAUUAAUAGAUUAAGUUACUUUAGGGAUAACAGCGUAAUUUCUUUUGAGAGUUCUUAUCGAAAAAGAAGAUUGCGACCUCGAUGUUGAAUUAAAAGUAUCUGUAUAAUGUAGGAGUUAUAUAAGAAGGUCUGUUCGACCUUAAAAAUUUUACAUGAUUUGAGUUCAAACCGGUGUAAGCCAGGUUGG